Molecule: ribosomal RNA, 777 nt
Filed under: Enterococcus hirae
Lineage: Bacteria; Bacillati; Bacillota; Bacilli; Lactobacillales; Enterococcaceae
Description: bacterial SSU rRNA
Rfam family: Bacterial small subunit ribosomal RNA
Source: RNAcentral
UGCUAAGUCUGGAUGUGGAAGCCCCUGGCUCCAACCCGGGGAUGGUUCAUUGGAACUGGGAGGACUGAGUGCAGAAGAGCAGAGUGAAUUGCCAUGCGUAGCGGUGAAAUGCGUAGAUAUAUGGAGGAACACCAGUGCCGAAGGCUGCUCUCUGGUCUGUAACUGACGCUGAGGCUCGAAAGCGUGGGGAGCGAACAGGAUUAGAUACCCUGGUAGUACCACGCCGUAAACGAUGAGUGCUAAGUGUUGGAGGGUUUCCGCCCUUCAGUGCUGCAGCAAACGCAUUAAGCACUCCGCCUGGGGAGUACGACCGCAAGGUUGAAACUCAAAGGAAUUGACGGGGGCCCGCACAAGCGGUGGAGCAUGUGGUUUAAUUCGAAGCAACGCGAAGAACCUUACCAGGUCUUGACAUCCUUUGACCACUCUAGAGAUAGAGCUUCCCCUUCGGGGGCAAAGUGACAGGUGGUGCAUGGUUGUCGUCAGCUCGUGUCGUGAGAUGUUGGGUUAAGUCCCGCAACGAGCGCAACCCUUAUUGUUAGUUGCCAUCAUUUAGUUGGGCACUCUAGCGAGACUGCCGGUGACAAACCGGAGGAAGGUGGGGAUGACGUCAAAUCAUCAUGCCCCUUAUGACCUGGGCUACACACGUGCUACAAUGGGAAGUACAACGAGUUGCGAAGUCGCGAGGCUAAGCUAAUCUCUUAAAGCUUCUCUCAGUUCGGAUUGUAGGCUGCAACUCGCCUACAUGAAGCCGGAAUCGCUAGUUAUUCCGCGGGAUAA